This 494-nucleotide ribosomal RNA is filed under the name uncultured bacterium. Its description in RNAcentral is "bacterial SSU rRNA". It matches the Rfam family "Bacterial small subunit ribosomal RNA", at positions 28 to 526 of the family's 1533-position model. The record is from RNAcentral.
GAUAAACGCUGGCGGCGCACAUAAGACAUGCAAGUCGAACGAACUUAACCUUAAUCUUUAUAUUUAGGAGCGGUUAGUGGCGGACUGGUGAGUAACACGUAAGCAAUCUGCCUAUCAGAGGGGAAUAACAGUGAGAAAUCACUGCUAAUACCGCAUAUGCUCCCACUACCACAUGGUAGAGAGAGGAAAGGAGAAAUCCGCUGAUAGAUGAGCUUGCGCCUGAUUAGCUAGUUGGUAAGGUAAUGGCUUACCAAGGCGACGAUCAGUAGCCGGACUGAGAGGUUGAACGGCCACAUUGGGACUGAGAUACGGCCCAGACUCCUACGGGAGGCAGCAGUGGGGAAUAUUGCACAAUGGGCGCAAGCCUGAUGCAGCAACGCCGCGUGAGGGAAGACGGUUUUCGGAUUGUAAACCUCUGUUCUUGGUGAAGAAACAAAUGACGGUAGCCAAGCAGCAAGCCACGGCUAACUACGUGCCAGCAGCCGCAGUAAGAC